AUGCCGCCGGGCGCUGUGGCGGCGCGGCCCCCCGGCGGGGCGCGCUCUCUGAGCCCCGCGGCGCUGUCUCGCAGCCUGUCCCGCCUGCGCGAGCACCGCGCCCGCUCGCGGGCCAUGCUGGCGCUGGGGGUCACGCAGAUGCUGCUGGGCUGCCUCAUCGUGGCCGUCAGCUUCGCCGCUCUGGCGCUCACCACCUCGGCCCGCGUCCGCCACUCGUGUCCCUUCUGGGCCGGCUUCUCGGUGCUGCUGUCGGGAUUGAUUGGUGUUGUUUCAUGGAAGAGGCCCCUUUCACUUGUGAUAACCUUUUUCAUGCUGCUCUCUGCAGUGUGUGUAAUGCUGAAUUUAGCUGGUUCCAUUCUUUCUUGUCAGAAUGCUCAGCUAGUAAAGUCCCUGGAAGGAUGUCAGUUGAUUAAAUUUGACAGUGAUGGUGUCUGUGUUUGCUGUGAAAUGCAGCAUCAAACGUCAGGUUGCAGUAACCUUGGAGAAAUGCUGAAACUGAACCCUCUGCGGGAAUGUAAUGCUGUGAGGUUGACCCUAAAGGACCUGUUGUUCAGUGUGUGCGCUCUCAAUAUCAUCUCCACCAUUGUCUGUGCUUUGGCAACAGCAAUGUGUUGCAUGCAGAUGGUUUCUUCUGAUCUUCUGCAAAUGUUUCUGCCACAGCGGCCACAUUCUGCCAAUGCAGACUGCAUGACUCCACAUGGGACAGUUCUGCAUCAAACUUUGGAUUUUGAUGAGUUCAUCCCACCAAUACCACCUCCACCCUACUACCCACCGGAAUAUACCUGCACACCUGUGGUAGAGGCACAGAGAAAUCUCCAUUUGGAAUUUCCUCAUUCCCCAUUCAGUGCUUUAUAUGAAGUCACCAUUAACAGCCCAGGAAUGCUGUAUCCAACUGAGCUGCCACCUCCUUAUGAGGCAGUGAUUGGAGAAACACCUGCCAGUCAGGUCACUGGUACUGAUCAGCAAGUAUCUGAAUCAAGCUUGGGUGAGAGGAAUGUGACCCUGGGCUUCAGCACACAAGUUUCUGUUGAGAGCACCUCGUUGAUGACCUCUGAAACUGCUGAAAUCCCAGACCAUAGCUGCUCCUCUGAAGAUCUUUGUUCGCUGGAAGUUCAAGAAUCUCUCCGUUCUUCAGAUUUUUCUCCCUCCUGUACAAACUGCAAAGGGGCUACAGGGCGGAGCUGCAGCAGUCUGGACUACAGCACCCGCUGCAGGUUUCACAGAACUCGCUCAGAAGGUUUUCCUGAUGAGGAUGUCAGUUUGCACAGCAGAGUCUCUAUGGACAAGUCUCAAGGACAGGAAAAUGAAAACAGUGCCCACGGCAGGUCCUCAGACUGUUCCUCAGAAAAUUUCAACCCCUCAGAAAGAGAACUGCAGAGUACUGCUCAAGAAGGCAGUGUCUCAUUACAUUUGAAACAAAUGAAAAUCUGCUGUGGGGUCUUUAGCCAGCCUUCUGUCCCUUCCCACACCGCUUCCUGUUUUGGGCCUGCAAAUACUUCAUCAUAUGCAAGCAGUUCUGAGAGUACUGUUCAGCAGCAUCAUGUUACAAAACACCGCCUUUCAAAUAUUGUCCGAUCAACUAGUGAUCCUGUAUCGUGUUCGUCUUACAUAGAAGGUGAUCAUUGUACCUGGAGUCCUAUAUGUAGACAGCAUCAAGAUUCAGGAUCUUCAGCCACAUUAGAAACAGUUCCUGUUUCUGGUUCUCAUAUGGCUGCCUCUGCUUGUCAGCAUUCUUUGAGCAGUUUCCUACCAACUGGAAAACAGAGGGAUACAAGGAACACUGAUCUACACUUAAAGCCAAAGGCUUUGCAAACAGUCUCAAAAGAACGACCACACUCUUUAGUGGACCUUAAGGCCUAUAAAGAUACAAAAAUUUUAGUGGCAAAAUUUUUGGAACAUUCAAACUGUAAUCUCCCUCCAGAAGUACGUCACGUAGUGAACAGUAUACGAUCAGUAAUAAAAUCUGAUGAAAGACACAUGGAAGAAGCCAUCUUCAGUGCCAAUAUUAUAGACCAGGUAAUUACAAGUUCCCAGCUGAGUGUGAAUACCUCUAGAAAGCGACGUCAGGAAGACCUUCAUCUUCAGAGUUGUGGUGCUCUGAGCUCUCCAGUUGCCUUCUUACGCAGGUCCCACAUCACUCGCAGUUUAGAGCGGGACAGGCCUCACAGUUUAAUUGGAGUUUGCCAGGAGACCAUCCUUUGAUAAUAUUCACAGGCUGGAAAAGGGCAGUCUGCCCUCCUGAGCCACCGCUUUUCUCCAUGUUUUAUAGUGCUGCUGAAUAGAGAGAGUAUAGGACAAAGAAGGCAAAUCAGGCCACUGUUUCAGCUGGCGUUCACAGACAGAAGGAAUACAGCUCAAUGCAGCACGGUGAUCUUCAUUAAAAAACUGUCUUCUCUGCAACAUCUGUGCUAUGAUGGGGCCUUCCUGUCAGUCUAGAAAGAUGUGUAUUGGAUGGAAAUUCCUGCUCAAUUGUUUCAGAAGACCUAAGCUGAUGCAGCACGUAAGGCAGGUGACGUACAGUUUGAAUCUCUGAAAUUGAGCAGAGUUCACUAUGCUGAGAUGUACCUAUUGCUUACUGAGAAAAAUCUGUUCUUGGAGAAAAAGAAAUGAGUCCUACAGGAAUAGCACCCAGUGAUGGCUGCUUCUGCAGUUACUGUCAAUGGUUAUAAUCAUAUGCCAAAAAUGAUUUGUUGAGAUCUUACAGUUUGCUCUGAGCUAAAUGUAAGUAUGAUAAGACAUGGCUUAUGUCUCAGCAUGUUUAUAAUUUAAUUCAGAAACAAAUAUAGUACGUGGGAAGAUGGACAAGCUAGCAUAAAAUGAGGGUGAAACAUUGUGGUUGAACAGUAUCUUUUGUGUUUGACUACUGGUUUUCCUUGAAGUCCUCUUUGCAAAUAUCAGGGCUAAGAGAAAUGAAAACCUUACUCAAAUUCAGGGUGUCUGAUAUGAGGAGGAAAAAUAUAUAGAUCUUCAUUUAUUAUGAAGCAAACAAACAAAUAAAACCCACCUUUUUAACAUUAUGAAAAAGUUUAUCCUACAGCGAUAUUUAUUUUGCAGCAGCCGCUAUAUAAUGAGGGGCUGGGCUUUGCCUACAGUGGCUCUUAAAUUGCUUCUUAUGGACUCUAAUGAUUAGAGGCACCAUCAAGACCUUUCACAGAAUUGACAUCUUGAAUUUCAGUGUGGUGUUGUACAGGUUGCCUACCUUCUAAUCAUAGCCCUAACAAGAUAAGCUGUAUUGCACAGAUCUUCACCUGACUCCUAUACAAAGCUUCUCAUUUAACUUACUGUUGGAAUUUGUUCAGUGCUUUUGGGGAUUGUAUGAAGCCAUGUGACAGGACAAGAGCAGAAUGUGCCAAAGGAAACCCUAUACAUACGUUUUAUAAAAUAAAAUACAUAGACCAUACAACCAGCUGAAAUAAAAGCUUUCAGAGCAAAUGGAAAUGUUGCCUUUAACCCCACUGGCAUAAAGGAAAAGAUAAUGGCUUGUGUAUCUAUCUAGAGCAUUUUUUUUCUUCUGGGGCACUCAAAGUGCUUUUAGUACUAGUGAAUUUCUAACAGCCUCAGACAUAGGAAGUGGUCUCUUAUUCUCAUUCAAGAACAUGAUCCCUCUCCAGGGAGAGGAUUCAGCUUCCUUUUUGUAAGCAUUAGAUAUUUUAAUGAGGUAGAAAAAGGAACAGACGCAGAUCUCAAGUGGCUCUGACUAACUUCACAGAUCAUGCUGUGCUAGAGGCAGAGUGCAGAUGUAAGGAAAUGCAUUGCACUUCUAGCACAGAUUUAUGUGGCUCCUGUAUUUGUGAGUGACUGACUGAAAACAGCUUGAGACUUCAGUCUCCAGCCCACGUACGUGAGACAUAUUUGGCUGGCAAGUUUAAGGUGAGCAGUACCUUAAGUAAAUGAGAUUCUACUUGGCCAGGACUGUUUACCUUGCUAUCAUAGUUGUGAAAUAUGGCAACUAUUAUUAAAUGAAGCAUAACUGAUCCAGAUCUUGUAAGCAAGAGCCUGUGCUCUAUUUAUUCUGUAAACAGAAAAAAUAAAAAUCAGCCAUACUAGUUGAAUCUACUCAGCUGUUGUGUAUUCUGUAGUGUCUUAGGCAAGUUGCAGUGAAUCACAUGUGAAACUUCAAUCCCAUCAGUUUUAUUGUAACUGCCCAUUGUGUAUCAAAAUAUUGACUGUAGUACAGUACAAGACAAAUUAACUGUUUUCUCUGGGCAAAUACCUAAAUACAACCUAUUAAACCAGGUUUCUCAUCAUCUCCUACCUAUAGUUCACUAUUUAAGCCCUAUAUGUUUUUUUCUUUUAAAAGUUUACACAAGUAUAAACAAAGGCAAGAAAGCAAAAAUUAACUAUCAGUUUGGUUAACUUUCACCUAAUCUUACUGUAUUUUUAGAUAGAAUUCUGCUGGACUGGGGAUGGGUAGAUACAUUUCUCAGAGGAAGUGAAUGAGCAUCCCAGGGUUUGCUGAAAAGUGGUAGAUUAUUAGCAGUUGAACUACAACUGGUGGCUCUAUCAUUAAUGAAGGAAAGAAGAAAAUGAUGUGAUGUGAAAGGUCGAUUUGUUUUUACAUAUGAAUUUUACAAGAAAUGUGGCAUAAUAAUUUUCAAAAGAUGGCUGAUAGGUUGCUUUAAUUCACCUCCCCACACAACACACACAACAUUUCUGCCACUUGUUUCAUGUAUAUGCACAAUAUUUUAGUUUUUUUCCUAAUGUUUUAAAAUUCAAAUUUCAGUUUUCUUUUGUAAGUGUUUUGUAAUGAAGCUACUGCAGAAGCUUUCCAGAGCCAUGCAGAAUAUCUGCAAUUACCAGUGAAAGAACAAUUCUGCAAAUGUAACACUAGAUUUGUGCAGUUGUGCUGUUCCCUAACUAAAACUUCCAAAAGCUAGUUCCUCUACUGCUCCCUGAGGCACAAAUUCAGACUUUACAUGAAUUAAGAUAUAUGGAACACAAACUGAAGCAGUCACCUGCAGCAAUCCAGUCUCUGCAUCUUCCUGAUAUCCUAUAAAAACAAAUCCCAGAUCAAAUACUACUACUGUAUGUUCAGGUUGUUUCUGGGCUAUUCACAAAGGCAAUAGCUGUACAUUCUGCAUAGAUGAGAUAGGCAGGUUGAAAAGGAAUCACCACAAAACUGUUAUCAGAAGAGGAACAGAAGUACCAGAUGCAUGCAUAAUGAGGUAAUUGCACAGCAGUAGGAGAGAUCUAAUUAUACCUGAUCUGGCAAGCUAUUUGUUUCUUCACUGUGCUAAUGCUAAGCCAAACAAAAGAUCAGGAUGUUGUUUCCCAUCAUGUUUUAUAACAAUUGUUAGCUUUUAGAAGAAUGUUUUUUAAAAGUUAAGUGUUGAACUGCCAGGAAAAUAUAUUUUGCAAAGUCAUAUUUUCAAAUGUUACCUGAAGUAAGGGAAAUUUUUAUUUGAGCAAGAAAUUACAGCAGA
Phasianus colchicus (ring-necked pheasant) is the source of this 5423-nucleotide non-coding RNA. The record is from RefSeq and is a predicted model, not a curated record. Lineage: Eukaryota; Metazoa; Chordata; Aves; Galliformes; Phasianidae.